CUUUGAUUUCCCAAGCUAAAUUAUGUCAACAAAAAGGUGCAGUUUAAUCCACAGCCACAGACUGACUUCAGGAAAAAGCACAUACAAGCAAAACUACGCCCUCAUCCUUCAGGGUGAGUUUCAGACUGAAAACUGAUACAAAUCUCUUUGAGAUUGCAAAGUGCAAGACACGUGUCUGCAAUUGAGGGUGUAGUUUGAUUCAUGGAAUAUAUGGGCAUGCAUCAGCAUGGUUGAAAAAUGGUAGUGGUUCAUGCAAAAUCGUUCAUCCCCAAACACUCAUCUCUCUCUCUUCCAGAAAGCAACACAGGUACCCUCUUUCUCUCUCUAUGUAAGAUCUAAGGUUCUAAAUCAGACAUUUCUCAUUUCUCAAAGCUUUCUAGAUCUAGGG
Long non-coding RNA from Magnolia sinica, 388 nucleotides. RefSeq lists it as uncharacterized. Lineage: Eukaryota; Viridiplantae; Streptophyta; Magnoliopsida; Magnoliales; Magnoliaceae. The record is from RefSeq and is a predicted model, not a curated record. The transcript has 3 exons.